CCUACGGGUGGCUGCAGUAAGGAAUAUUGGUCAAUGGAGGAAACUCUGAACCAGCCAUCCCGCGUGAAGGAUGAAGGGGCUCUGCCUUGUAAACUUCUUUUGUCUGGGGCGAAAAAGCUCGAUUUAUCGAGAACUGACGGUACCAGAGGAAUAAGCCCCGGCUAACUCCGUGCCAGCAGCCGCGGUAAUACGGAGGGUGCAGGAGUUAUCCGGAUGCACGGGGUUGUAGGGGGCUUAGUAAGUCAGUGGAGAAAGGCUGUGGCUUAACCAUGGAAUUGCCAUUGAUACUGCAGAGCUUGAAUGAGGUUGAGGUUGGCGGAAUGUGACAUGUAGCGGUGAAAUGCUUAGAUAUGUCAUGGAACACCGAUUGCGAAGGCAGCUGACUGGACCUAUAUUGACGCUGAGGCACGAAAGCGUGGGGAGCGAACAGGAUUAGAUACCCGAGUAGUC
Molecule: ribosomal RNA, 450 nt
Filed under: uncultured bacterium
Lineage: Bacteria
Description: partial 16S ribosomal RNA
Rfam family: Bacterial small subunit ribosomal RNA
Source: RNAcentral